GAUGAACGCUGGCGGCGUGCCUAACACAUGCAAGUCGAGCGGAGAUACAUUGAAGGUUACCUGAUUUGUAUCUUAGCGGCGGACGGGUGAGUAACGCGUGAGAAACCUGCCUUAUAGAGGGGGAUAACACAUCGAAAGAUGUGCUAAUACCGCAUAAUAACACUGUACCGCAUGGUAUGAUGUUCAAAGGAGUAAUCCACUAUAGGAUGGUCUCGCGUCUGAUUAGCUAGUUGGUGAGGUAAUGGCUCACCAAGGCGACGAUCAGUAGCCGAACUGAGAGGUUGAUCGGCCACAUUGGGACUGAGACACGGCCCAGACUCCUACGGGAGGCAGCAGUGGGGAAUAUUGCGCAAUGGGGGAAACCCUGACGCAGCAACGCCGCGUGAAGGAAGAAGGUCUUCGGAUCGUAAACUUUUGUCUUUGGGGACGAAAAAAAUGAC
This 440-nucleotide ribosomal RNA is filed under the name uncultured Eubacteriales bacterium. RNAcentral describes it as "bacterial SSU rRNA". It matches the Rfam family "Bacterial small subunit ribosomal RNA", at positions 28 to 458 of the family's 1533-position model. The record is from RNAcentral. Lineage: Bacteria; Bacillati; Bacillota; Clostridia; Eubacteriales.